GAUGAACGCUGGCGGCGUGCCUAAUACAUGCAAGUCGAGCGAACGGACGAGAAGCUUGCUUCUCUGAUGUUAGCGGCGGACGGGUGAGUAACACGUGGAUAACCUACCCAUAAGACUGGGAUAACUUCGGGAAACCGGAGCUAAUACCGGAUAAUAUUUUGAACCGCAUGGUUCAAAAGUGAAAGACGGUCUUGCUGUCACUUAUAGAUGGAUCCGCGCUGCAUUAGCUAGUUGGUAAGGUAACGGCUUACCAAGGCAACGAUGCAUAGCCGACCUGAGAGGGUGAUCGGCCACACUGGAACUGAGACACGGUCCAGACUCCUACGGGAGGCAGCAGUAGGGAAUCUUCCGCAAUGGGCGAAAGCCUGACGGAGCAACGCCGCGUGAGUGAUGAAGGUCUUCGGAUCGUAAAACUCUGUUAUUGGGGAAGAACAUAUGUGUAAGUAACUGUGCACAUCUUGACGGUACCUAAUCAGAAAGCCACGGCUAACUACGUG
This 497-nucleotide ribosomal RNA is filed under the name uncultured bacterium. Its description in RNAcentral is "partial 16S ribosomal RNA". It matches the Rfam family "Bacterial small subunit ribosomal RNA", at positions 28 to 507 of the family's 1533-position model. The record is from RNAcentral.